RNAcentral lists this unclassified non-coding RNA (2289 nucleotides) under Hevea brasiliensis (rubber tree). The record is from RNAcentral. Lineage: Eukaryota; Viridiplantae; Streptophyta; Magnoliopsida; Malpighiales; Euphorbiaceae.
AAUAUUACAACUAGAUAAGUUCAAAGGACAGUUGUCAAAAUUUAUCCUCUUAAAAGUAGAGCUAUAGAGGGCUUUGGGAUAGUUUUUGCCCUUUUAACUUCAAAUAGAGUUCAAACCCAACCAUGAAGACGACUCAUUGGCUGUGUCCAUUAUAGCUUCAAUACUUAGAACAAUUUACCCCAGAUUUUAGAAGGCAAAAGCAUAAGGCUGCCGAUAAGUUAAUCAUCUAGGGAAAAUGAGUGUCCCAAAAAAUCAGAUUGGAGCAACCAAUUAAUAGCUCUAUCAAUCACAUGUAUAUUCUGCCAGAAGCUGGAAUGUAAGAUUAGUUGAUGGAACUCUGAUUUUGUAAAUUCAAAAUUUGCGGUUAAACCUUUCAAAUACCACAUUUAGAGAUAAUCAAAUUAUCCUUAGACUUAAGCAAACGGCUAAAUUGUCCAAGUACAGAGCAACAAGACCACUCUUUUUUGUGCUCUAACUUUGAAUAGAAGAGGGCAAGGAAAUAAAAUAACUUCCAGCACUAGAUUCCCAGUAAUAUAUUUCUUUCUCGUGCCAUUAAAAACACAAAAUCCUGGUAUUACAAAACGCACCUUGUUACCAUGUGUCAUUAUGACCCAGAUAUUCUUUAAGAUGGGCCUCAUGCUCGUCAGGAGAAAUCUGUUUAUCUUUCCACAAGUUUUCAAGCGUUCUUGUCCCUCGAAUCUUUGAUGUGGUUUCAUGAUAAAGCUUGCAAACAUAUCUCGUCCCAACAACAUGAUUUACAACACCAACAUCAUUAGCAAAAUUAUGGGGUUUCAAAAGAUGGUUCAGAUUCCCAAUAUUCUUUCUUGAUUUCUUAGUUCCUCAAGUAAUCCGAAUUUCAAUUUUAAUUAGAUCUUCCAUCAUAUCGACCUGGACUGCCAGAAUCAUAACUCCUGACACUAACAGAUUUUGUAGUUGAGUUUCCAUCUCUAUCAGGACUUUCAGGUUUCCACCGAUCCUGCUCAUUAAUUUCUUUAAUGGAUUUGUAUCUUGAAUCAUGAUCAAACAUGUAUCUUCCAUUACAUGGGUCCACGAUUUUUCUGGAAUUCAAACUCUCUUCAUGAGAAUUUGUUUCAUUGCUUUCUCUGCCUGAAUAGCUUCUUCUGCUCGAAGGACAAUCCAAUGGAUUUCUUUUUAGGUGAGAUUUGCCCAUUUCAAUCUCCUCACAGUAAGACUUUUCUUUCAACCGCUUCGCAGUUCUCCCUUCUUCAUCUGAAAUCUCUUGUUCAAUUUUCUUCGAGCGCCUCCUUUUAUGACUAUGAUGUCUUUCCUUGUCUAACCACUCAUCAUUGGAAUCAGAAUCAUAAGUCCUGUACCUAUCAUCCCAAUGAUCAUCUGUGAAAUCAGAGAAAUUGCUCUUAUGUCUUGAACUUUUCCUUGCAGGAUGAUCAUGUCUGCCUUUGUUUUUGUCUCUGUAUGACAAAUCUUCCACGGAACCAGUACCAAGAGUUACAUCUCCACGAUAAUCUGUGGACCUUACCUUGCUCUGGUGUCUUGAGCUUCUCCCCCUAUGGUGUUUUUCUCCAUCUCUGUCUCUAUCCAACCUGUAUCCAUCCAUUGCAUGAGAUUCAUUCUUCCUCUCUCUAUUAUCAUCCAGCAAUGCCUCUUUUUCCCAGAUUUCUGAACUUUUGGUGUGCACCUGGUGUGUUUUUCUUUUUCUGCUCCCACCAGACCACUCAUUGGAAUCAGCCUCAUGAAUCCUCCGCUUGCUCUUCCCACUAAAACGAUCAGUGGAGCAUUCUGACACUUCACCAUGGUCUUUUGACCUUUUUCUCACAUGACUACCAUGCUUAUUUUGUUUUCUGUCCAAGUUAAUGUCCCUAUCCGACCAACUUCCAUCAGAAUCAGAAUCAUGACUUCUGUGAUCACUAUUAUAAUAAUCCUUUUCGCAUGAUUUUUUGUCAAGGUUUCUAAUUUGUUUCCGAUCAUCAUCUGCACACCUGUGCCAGCGAGCGCCUUGUUGAACCCUAUCUUCACUGUCACUGCUUUUACCAGAAUAAGGGAGCAAGUGAUCUAUGUCCCUGGAUCUAGAUCUUUCACGAUGCCUGUCUGUGUCCGCUGGUAUUGUCUUGCUAGACGUCCUUGUAUGCUCAAAUUUUUCUUUGUCCAACCUGUAUUCAGAUUUAUCAGAGUAACCAAAUAAAGCAGCCAUCUUUUUCACCCAAUAUCUAGGAGGUGGUUUAUCCCAAUCAGCCCAUUCAUAGUCCCCACCAGGAUUACGGAAACAGUGGAUAAAAUUGCAAGCCGUUCCAUGAGAACAUGUCUUGAGCC